AUUCGCUUUUAAUAGCAUUAAGAGGGAUAAAAACAGAAUGAAAAUCAGUGGUGUCAAGUAACGAAGUAAAUGUACUUAGUUACUGUACUUGAGUACUAUUUUUGAGAAGUCAGCAUGUAACAAAGUAAACUUUUUCUGGAGUAAUUUUACUUGGAACGAAGUCAUUUUAAGACGUAACGUUUUACUUCGUUAUUUUCAUUUUGUAGCGAAGUAUUUCGUUACUUUCUAACUUUGUUUUAAUUUUACGUGAUUCAUUUCUGAAUUAUUUCAAUUUUGGGAUAGCUAAUAGGACCACACGUCUGGGAUCUAUCGUUUGUGGCUUACUUAUAAGCAUUAUUUAUUUAAUGGAUUUAUUAUAUCUUCAACGGGAUCUGGAAAGUAUAGACCAUGCCGUGAACUAUUGUAUAUUAGGUGCAGUGGUGCACGCGUAAAAUGCGUGUACUGUUUUUUGUCUUUUGUAUGUCAAUCCAUUGGAGAAAUCCCCUCCCCCAUACACGCCACAGACCAUAGUACUUUUACUUUUUACUUCAAGAAUUUUUUAAGGAUACUUUGUACUUUUUACUUAAGUACGUUUUGCCUCCAGUACUUUUUACUCUUAAUCAAGUCGUUUUAUUGUUAAUUACUUCUACUUUUACUCGAGUACAAAUUCAAAGUAAUUUAGGCACCACUGAUGAAAAUACUCCCAGUAAUUGUUUACAGGUGAGCAAAUGGACUGUCAAAAAGUAUUUUUUUAAAUGUAAUGCGAAUGUGAAAGCAUGAACAGAAUAUA
Molecule: non-coding RNA, 769 nt
Organism: Paramuricea clavata
Lineage: Eukaryota; Metazoa; Cnidaria; Anthozoa; Malacalcyonacea; Plexauridae
Source: the annotation of a GenBank genome assembly